AAUCUUGCGCAAUGGACGAAAGGCUCACGGAGCGAUGCCGCGCGAGUGAUGAAGGUCNNNGGAUCNUCAAACUCUGUUGUUAGNGAANAACAAGUAGCGGAGUAAUAUGCCGGUACCUUGACGGUACCUAACCAGAAAGCCCCGGCUAACUACGUGCCAGCAGCCGCGGUAAUACGUAGGGGGCAAGCGUUGUCCGGAAUUAUUGGGCGUAAAGCGCGCGCAGGCGGUCUUUUAAGUCUGAUGUGAAAUCUUACCGCUUAACUGUAAGCGGUCAUUGGAAACUGGGAGACUUGAGUGCAGAAGAGGAGAGUGGAAUUCCAUGUGUAGCGGUGAAAUGCGUAGAGAUAUGGAGGAACACCAGUGGCGAAGGCGACUCUCUGGUCUGCAACUGACGCUGAGGCGCGAAAGCGUGGGGAUCAAACA
This 423-nucleotide ribosomal RNA is filed under the name uncultured bacterium. RNAcentral describes it as "partial 16S ribosomal RNA". It matches the Rfam family "Bacterial small subunit ribosomal RNA", at positions 360 to 774 of the family's 1533-position model. The record is from RNAcentral.